RNAcentral lists this long non-coding RNA (1610 nucleotides) under Marmota monax (woodchuck). The record is from RNAcentral. Lineage: Eukaryota; Metazoa; Chordata; Mammalia; Rodentia; Sciuridae.
GAAACACAGAGAAAACUGGGAGCCGUUACAGACAGCAGCCAAGAAAGGCAGGUCAGAUGGAAUGGAUUCGCCACCAAAAUGUACUUUUCAAUCUGGCUGCAGAGUGUCGAGAAAUAUCUUGCAACACGUCUUAAAAAAUCAAUUUCAAAAUGUUGAUCAAGUCCCGAGGAAAUGUACCUUUCUUUGCACACAGGAAAGUGUUUCCAUAAUUUUCACACUUAGUCUGUGAAAGUCUGCAAACUAAGGCACAACCAUUUUGACCAAGAUGAUAUCUCACGUAUCUUGACACCAACUGUUUAAAUUUCUGACUUGCACAUCCAUUUCUGGAACCCACUGUUUCUGAUUUUUCCAAAGGUUUCAUUCCAACAUCCACUCUUCUGCUGCAUUGAAAAUGAACUUUUCUCACGAGGGUAGAAAGCAGGGCAGGGCUGAAGGCUUCCUCCAGAAGAUGCCUGAAACUCAACUUGUUGGACAAAAGAGAGACUGAAACCCGAGAGGCCACCCAGGCAGAGAGUAGUGACAGAAAGGACCUCAGUGGGUAUCCCGAGACAGACAACCAAAGGGAACAGUGCUGUGCAGUUAGGGGCAAGAGAAAGGUUCAGGGAAGAGAGAAGCUGGGAGGGGGUGCAGGUGGGAACAGUCAGGAGUCAGCAGUCAGGACGGGGUGAGCAGAAGGGGCAACGGGUGCUUUUGGCUGAGCCUAAGUGAGACCCUGGUCCACUUGCAAUCCCACCCCAGAGCCUGGCAAGGCUCCCUCCAGCAGCUAUCACUCUGCUCUUUCCAUGCUUGUCUCCACCCACACCACCUUCUACAAGUUCUCAAUCAUAUAAGCAUCUGGAAGGAAGCUGGGAAGGGUUGUCUGUCUUGUCCAUUGAUGGAGCCCAAUGCCUAGGACAGAGCCUGAUAAAUGGAGAGCACUGUGCAAAUACGAACAAUUAGAGCCCAAGUCAUAAAAGAAAGUACUCAAACACAGGGUCUCCUUAACUCUCUAAAAUACCACACUGUUUUACACGUACACACACACACACACACACACACACACAUGCCCGUGUAAAUUUGAGAGAACUCAGAAAUGGUUCAAAUCACCCAGAAACAUCAGGUGACCAUUCAAGAUAACUCAGGAAAUCUGAGCUGGUCAAGUUUAUUGCACGUCACCAACAAGUACCUUUUGGGACUGAGGGAAUUAGCAAACACAUUCCACAAAUCCCCGGCAGUUAUUUUGAGCGAGGUAGUGGGAAAUGAGGACCUAAAAGAGAAAUGGCAAGAAUGGAAGUGAGAGUGAUAUUUUACUCCACAGAAGGUCGAUCCUGAGUUUUACCAUCUGGGAGCUAACCUAAAUCCCCAGGAAAACAAGGUCCCCUCAAACCAAGGCAAAGUCAAGGAGACAUAGCAAUCCAUACUUAUUAAUAGUCUCAUAAAGCAUCGGGAAGGCUUGCCCCCACCCUGCUUUGCUGGAUGGUCGUGGGCGCUUGUCUUGUGAAGGAAUACAGCAAAUACAUUUACAUUGUUUAUGAACAUGUCUUGAUUUCAGUUAAACACUUGAUGGAAGUUAAUCCCAUUUGGUUUAUAUAAAAAAUAGCUGUUCGGAGCCUGAAAACGUAUCUGAGUGA